CCAGCAGCAGCUGCUGGCCGAGGCCCAGGAUGUGCGGCAGCGGCUUCAGGGGUGCACCGAGCGGGCCGCGGGGCAGGCGCUGCUAGCGCAGGCUCGGAACUCAGCCACCAGGAGCCGUGCCAAGGACCGGGAUGACUUCAAGAGGACUCUGGUGGAGACCGCAGCGGAGAGCGUCUACGUGACCUUCGCCGGCGUAGCCCGCCUGGUGCAGACGUAUUCCCAGCGCGUGGGGAGGGUGGCGCAGGAUCAGGAGGAGCGGACACUAGAGCAGCUGAAGACGCUUCAGGGUGAGCGGAUGGACAACUACAAGCUGAAGAAAAAGCAGGAAGUCAGCGAGUCCUCCCUGGGGAGCCAGGCAGCAGGCAGUGCCCCCCAGGGGGUCCCCCAGAGGGUGCUGUGCCGGCAGCGGAGGCUCCGGGCCCAGCUCACCGCCCACCAGCGGCUCCGCCUGGAUGUGCAGAGGCAGAAGGCCCGGACCCUGGAACGGCUGGAGGCCCAGCUGGAGGCGCAGCUGCAGGAAGCCGAGCAGACCUUUGUCACCGAGCUGGCAGCACUGGCCCGAGUGCCCCUUGUGGACAACAAGCCAUUCUCCAGUGAGCGCGGGCAGCCAGAGAAAUCGCUGCAGACCAAGAGGAAGAAGCCCCCACCCCAGGACAGAGGGGACCCGGGGUCGCCCACCGAUGACAACCCCGCCCCCAUGGACCCUGUGUCAGGAUCGCCCAGCAAAUGGCAGAGUCAACAGCAAAGCGACGCAGGCGACGGGGGCAGCGCUGGGAAGGUGUUGAAGAAAAGAAGCAACCUGUAGCUGGGGACCAGGCGCAGGCGACGGCGUCACCUCGGCACCGGGGCUCCCUUCGGGCCUCGAGAACAGGCACGGAGCUCCGGCACCAACCAGCAGCCCCAGGGAGAAGGGACCGAGGUCACCGGCUUCACCCCUCAGCCGCACAUGCGCCACAGCCUGGGGGCACAGCUGGCAGUGUGGACACAGCGACGGGACUCCUUCUUUGGGGUGUGAAGGCGCUGGUGCAAGAUGGGGUCCCUCACGCCAGACCCCAAAGGAGUGCAGCCUCAGGUCGUGAGGGGUGUGGGGCACAGACACCCGCAGAGGUGAGGACGGCUCCCUGGCGACACCUCGGGCACUGAGGGACUCUGCUUUCAAACGGCUUGCGGGACCCUGGCCCCUUGGGUCUGCCUGGGAUCUGUCCCAACAUGCGUCCCUGCUCGCUCCUGAAUGAAGCAGGCAUUUUAAAACUCAUGUUACUGUAUGUUGGCGAUACAUGAAUACAUGACUUUCUCUUUUACUUUUUUGGUAUCGGGGAUCAAACUUGGGGCCUUGCGCUUGCAAGGCAGGCGGCAGCACCACUGAGCUAAACCCCCGGCCCUACGUGACUGCUUUUUUUUUGGUACUGGGGAUUGAACUCAGGCCCUUGUGCUUGCGAGGCAGGCGGUGGAAUGACUACUUUGAAUGUGGGAAUUCCAGACCCGCACAGGACACGGCUUGUUUUUCCACCCUUCCCUGCUGCCCUUCCCCUCCCUCCAUCUCCCGGUCCUCUUCCCAUUUGCGGUAGAUCUGCCUCCCUGUUGCCUCUUAUCGAGCUUGUAUUGGGCUCCUUAUCCAUACUGUGGCUUUCUCACGUGAGAGGAGCACAUGGAAUGUAAGCAUGUGUGUCUCAUUUACUCCACUUAACAUUCUGGUCUCCAGGCGCUCCCACGUACCCACAGGUGGCUCAGGCGUGUCCUUCACGGCAGAGUAGUACUCCACCAUGUGUAAACAUCACUCUAUCCAGUCACCCGCUGAUGGACACAGAGGCCGUUUCCAAGAUGUAACUGUUAUGAAUCGUGCCGCUACGAACAUGGGUGUGCAUGGGUCACUGCAACAUGACGCCUCCAACUCCUACGGGAAAACACUUACACUCCCACCCACAGUGCGGCCUCUCCAGCAUUUGCUUCUAUUUGAUUUCUUGGUGAGGGCCAUUUUUUCUGCGACGAGAUGAAAUCCUAGUGUUGUUUUAACCUGCGUUUCUCUAGGGGCCAGUGCUGUUGGGCAUGCUUCGUGUAUUGGGUGCGUGUUUGUCCUUCUUCUGGGAACUGUCUCUUCCUUCCGGUUGCCUGUUUUUGAGUCUCUGCGUUUGGGGAUCUGAUGUUUUGUGUUCUUCGUAUAUUCUAGAUAUUUAGUCCUCCAUCUGCGGAGCAGCUGGCAAAGACGUUCCCGUUCUGUGGGUCGCCUCUUCCCUCUGUUGGUGGUUUGCUUUGCUGUGCAGAAGCUGCUCGUUUGGACAGAGCCCGUCUGUUGGCUCUUCUGUAGUUUCUUGCACAAUCGGGGCUCUGUUCCGAAAGUCCUUGCCUGUGCCUGUGACUUCAAGGGUUUCCCCUGUCUCAUCUUCCAGCCGGCUCGGCUGGACGCGUGUGCUUUGAGAGCCCCCCCUUCCGUGUUAUUCAGGCCGGUGAGGACAGAAUUAGACUCGGAUGUGGCCAGCAGCAGUGUCCCUGCGUCCCCACGUCCCCGGGGCACCAGUCACUGACCAGGGCGGGCCUCCCUCCCCGCCCCCAGCCCAGCCGGGACUUUCCACGCUGCCUGUACGUCAGAACAUAACUCCUAGCCGUGACGCAGGGAGCCCGUCAUGGAGAUCAUGGACGCCGUAUGGAUUUUAAUUUCUCAAAAUCUGAAUUAGACUCUGCUUGUCCGGAAGAGCAGCUCCUCCCGGAAGCAGCAAUCCGCCCAUCCCGGGUCGGGUUUCGAGUUAGCCAACAGUGCCCUCUGGUGGCUCCGUGCAGCAUUGCAGCCAUCUGUGGAGUCUGAAAAGCCGAAUUGUGCAAAGCUCUUCUGGACAAAGUUUAGGCGGCGAUUGUGACGCGGGUCCUCUACACUAGGAGUCUGAGCAGGUGGCGCCUGUGUGCAGAUGCCUGGUUCGGUAGCGGGCUUGCGGCAAAG
Long non-coding RNA from Fukomys damarensis (Damara mole-rat), 2932 nucleotides. NCBI's taxonomy places the organism in Eukaryota, Metazoa, Chordata, Mammalia, Rodentia, Bathyergidae. The record is from Ensembl.